RNAcentral lists this ribosomal RNA (2902 nucleotides) under Escherichia coli. RNAcentral's name for it is "bacterial LSU rRNA". It matches the Rfam family "Bacterial large subunit ribosomal RNA". The record is from RNAcentral. Lineage: Bacteria; Pseudomonadati; Pseudomonadota; Gammaproteobacteria; Enterobacterales; Enterobacteriaceae.
UUAAGCGACUAAGCGUACACGGUGGAUGCCCUGGCAGUCAGAGGCGAUGAAGGACGUGCUAAUCUGCGAUAAGCGUCGGUAAGGUGAUAUGAACCGUUAUAACCGGCGAUUUCCGAAUGGGGAAACCCAGUGUGAUUUGUCACACUAUCAUUAACUGAAUCCAUAGGUUAAUGAGGCGAACCGGGGGAACUGAAACAUCUAAGUACCCCGAGGAAAAGAAAUCAACCGAGAUUCCCCCAGUAGCGGCGAGCGAACGGGGAGGAGCCCAGAGCCUGAAUCAGUGUGUGUGUUAGUGGAAGCGUCUGGAAAGGCGCGCGAUACAGGGUGACAGCCCCGUACACAAAAAUGCACAUGCUGUGAGCUCGAUGAGUAGGGCGGGACACGUGGUAUCCUGUCUGAAUAUGGGGGGACCAUCCUCCAAGGCUAAAUACUCCUGACUGACCGAUAGUGAACCAGUACCGUGAGGGAAAGGCGAAAAGAACCCCGGCGAGGGGAGUGAAAAAGAACCUGAAACCGUGUACGUACAAGCAGUGGGAGCCUCUUUAUGGGGUGACUGCGUACCUUUUGUAUAAUGGGUCAGCGACUUAUAUUCUGUAGCAAGGUUAACCGAAUAGGGGAGCCGAAGGGAAACCGAGUCUUAACUGGGCGUUAAGUUGCAGGGUAUAGACCCGAAACCCGGUGAUCUAGCCAUGGGCAGGUUGAAGGUUGGGUAACACUAACUGGAGGACCGAACCGACUAAUGUUGAAAAAUUAGCGGAUGACUUGUGGCUGGGGGUGAAAGGCCAAUCAAACCGGGAGAUAGCUGGUUCUCCCCGAAAGCUAUUUAGGUAGCGCCUCGUGAAUUCAUCUCCGGGGGUAGAGCACUGUUUCGGCAAGGGGGUCAUCCCGACUUACCAACCCGAUGCAAACUGCGAAUACCGGAGAAUGUUAUCACGGGAGACACACGGCGGGUGCUAACGUCCGUCGUGAAGAGGGAAACAACCCAGACCGCCAGCUAAGGUCCCAAAGUCAUGGUUAAGUGGGAAACGAUGUGGGAAGGCCCAGACAGCCAGGAUGUUGGCUUAGAAGCAGCCAUCAUUUAAAGAAAGCGUAAUAGCUCACUGGUCGAGUCGGCCUGCGCGGAAGAUGUAACGGGGCUAAACCAUGCACCGAAGCUGCGGCAGCGACACUAUGUGUUGUUGGGUAGGGGAGCGUUCUGUAAGCCUGUGAAGGUGGCCUGUGAGGGUUGCUGGAGGUAUCAGAAGUGCGAAUGCUGACAUAAGUAACGAUAAAGCGGGUGAAAAGCCCGCUCGCCGGAAGACCAAGGGUUCCUGUCCAACGUUAAUCGGGGCAGGGUGAGUCGACCCCUAAGGCGAGGCCGAAAGGCGUAGUCGAUGGGAAACAGGUUAAUAUUCCUGUACUUGGUGUUACUGCGAAGGGGGGACGGAGAAGGCUAUGUUGGCCGGGCGACGGUUGUCCCGGUUUAAGCGUGUAGGCUGGUUUUCCAGGCAAAUCCGGAAAACUAAGGCUGAGGCGUGAUGACGAGGCACUACGGUGCUGAAGCAACAAAUGCCCUGCUUCCAGGAAAAGCCUCUAAGCAUCAGGUAACAUCAAAUCGUACCCCAAACCGACACAGGUGGUCAGGUAGAGAAUACCAAGGCGCUUGAGAGAACUCGGGUGAAGGAACUAGGCAAAAUGGUGCCGUAACUUCGGGAGAAGGCACGCUGAUAUGUAGGUGAAGCGACUUGCUCGUGGAGCUGAAAUCAGUCGAAGAUACCAGCUGGCUGCAACUGUUUAUUAAAAACACAGCACUGUGCAAACACGAAAGUGGACGUAUACGGUGUGACGCCUGCCCGGUGCCGGAAGGUUAAUUGAUGGGGUUAGCGGUAACGCGAAGCUCUUGAUCGAAGCCCCGGUAAACGGCGGCCGUAACUAUAACGGUCCUAAGGUAGCGAAAUUCCUUGUCGGGUAAGUUCCGACCUGCACGAAUGGCGUAAUGAUGGCCAGGCUGUCUCCACCCGAGACUCAGUGAAAUUGAACUCGCUGUGAAGAUGCAGUGUACCCGCGGCAAGACGGAAAGACCCCGUGAACCUUUACUAUAGCUUGACACUGAACAUUGAGCCUUGAUGUGUAGGAUAGGUGGGAGGCUUUGAAGUGUGGACGCCAGUCUGCAUGGAGCCGACCUUGAAAUACCACCCUUUAAUGUUUGAUGUUCUAACGUUGACCCGUGAUCCGGGUUGCGGACAGUGUCUGGUGGGUAGUUUGACUGGGGCGGUCUCCUCCUAAAGAGUAACGGAGGAGCACGAAGGUUGGCUAAUCCUGGUCGGACAUCAGGAGGUUAGUGCAAUGGCAUAAGCCAGCUUGACUGCGAGCGUGACGGCGCGAGCAGGUGCGAAAGCAGGUCAUAGUGAUCCGGUGGUUCUGAAUGGAAGGGCCAUCGCUCAACGGAUAAAAGGUACUCCGGGGAUAACAGGCUGAUACCGCCCAAGAGUUCAUAUCGACGGCGGUGUUUGGCACCUCGAUGUCGGCUCAUCACAUCCUGGGGCUGAAGUAGGUCCCAAGGGUAUGGCUGUUCGCCAUUUAAAGUGGUACGCGAGCUGGGUUUAGAACGUCGUGAGACAGUUCGGUCCCUAUCUGCCGUGGGCGCUGGAGAACUGAGGGGGGCUGCUCCUAGUACGAGAGGACCGGAGUGGACGCAUCACUGGUGUUCGGGUUGUCAUGCCAAUGGCACUGCCCGGUAGCUAAAUGCGGAAGAGAUAAGUGCUGAAAGCAUCUAAGCACGAAACUUGCCCCGAGAUGAGUUCUCCCUGACUCCUUGAGAGUCCUGAAGGAACGUUGAAGACGACGACGUUGAUAGGCCGGGUGUGUAAGCGCAGCGAUGCGUUGAGCUAACCGGUACUAAUGAACCGUGAGGCUUAACCUU